Molecule: ribosomal RNA, 117 nt
Filed under: Danio rerio (zebrafish)
Lineage: Eukaryota; Metazoa; Chordata; Actinopteri; Cypriniformes; Danionidae
Source: RNAcentral
GGCCACAGCCAUAUCACACUGCAGCCCGAGACCGUUUACUCACUGAAGCUAAGCAGGGCUGAGCCUGGUCAGUACCUGGAUGGGUGGCCACAAUGGAAAACUAGGUUGCUGUUGGAA